Molecule: long non-coding RNA, 689 nt
Organism: Limulus polyphemus (Atlantic horseshoe crab)
Lineage: Eukaryota; Metazoa; Arthropoda; Merostomata; Xiphosura; Limulidae
Exons: 3
Source: RefSeq, a predicted model, not a curated record
AGGGUGCUGUAGCUAUAAAACAGUUCUCCGACAACUAAUGAGAUUCAGAGCUCCUGAGUGUGAAGAAAGUCACUUUCUCCAAGAAUAUAAUCUGACAUCGCUUUGGGAUUCCAUUUAUGAAAAUGUUGACGACCAGGCUUGUGGUAUUAUGUUUAUCGUUCUUCUGCGCCCUUGUAGUAGUUGACGACCUGGUGAAUGCCUCACCAAGUUUCUAUACUGAUUACGAAAACUUACGAGAUCUAUAUGAGCUUCUAUUGAGGAAUGAAGCCUUACCACCAGUUGCACGAUUUACUCACCAGAUGGAGCGCAAAGGCGGUCGAUCACCAUCUCUUCGACUGCGAUUCGGAAAGCGAGCAGAUUCAUUCUGGUCUCCUUAUUUUUCAGCCGAGGCAAUGGACGAACCAGAAAAUUAAUAUUUUCAAAGCUUGACAUUUAUAGGAUCUCUUCUCCUUUCUUCACUUCGAAGUUCACAUUAAUUUUGAGUAACUUUUCAUUUCUUACUUUCGUCUUAUUAGCUAAUUACAAAACAUCGUUUUAAGAAUAUAUAUAUUUUAUUUGUUGUGAUUACAUGAAAAUCAAGGGGUAACUAUCUUCUUAGCCUCUAAAAUGGUGUGUUCACAUCUUUAAAAAUGAAAACAUCAGAUUUAUGUUAGCUAUUUAAAUAAACAGUUGGUUCCCUGAAAAUCUUC